UUACGGCCAGAUCACGUCGAAACAGCGGUACCCGUAUGAUCACCUAAGUUAAGCAACUCCAAGCCUGGUUAUUACCUAGAUGGGUGACGGCUUGUUAAUAUCAGGCGCUGUAAU
Molecule: non-coding RNA, 114 nt
Organism: Acanthosepion pharaonis
Lineage: Eukaryota; Metazoa; Mollusca; Cephalopoda; Sepiida; Sepiidae
Source: the annotation of a GenBank genome assembly